This 600-nucleotide ribosomal RNA is filed under the name uncultured bacterium. RNAcentral describes it as "bacterial SSU rRNA". It matches the Rfam family "Bacterial small subunit ribosomal RNA", at positions 84 to 680 of the family's 1533-position model. The record is from RNAcentral.
UACCUGAUUCAGCGGCGGACGGGUGAGUAAUGCCUAGGAAUCUGCCCGAUAGUGGGGGACAACGUUUCGAAAGGAACGCUAAUACCGCAUACGUCCUACGGGAGAAAGUGGGGGAUCUUCGGACCUCACGCUAUCGGAUGAGCCUAGGUCGGAUUAGCUAGUUGGUGAGGUAAUGGCUCACCAAGGCGACGAUCCGUAACUGGUCUGAGAGGAUGAUCAGUCACACUGGAACUGAGACACGGUCCAGACUCCUACGGGAGGCAGCAGUGGGGAAUAUUGGACAAUGGGCGAAAGCCUGAUCCAGCCAUGCCGCGUGUGUGAAGAAGGUCUUCGGAUUGUAAAGCACUUUAAGUUGGGAGGAAGGGCAGUAAGCUAAUACCUUGCUGUUUUGACGUUACCAACAGAAUAAGCACCGGCUAACUCUGUGCCAGCAGCCGCGGUAAUACAAAGGGUGCAAGCGUUAAUCGGAAUUACUGGGCGUAAAGCGCGCGUAGGUGGUUCAGCAAGUUGGAUGUGAAAUCCCCGGGCUCAACCUGGGAACUGCAUCCAAAACUACUGAGCUAGAGUACAGUAGAGGGUGGUGGAAUUUCCUGUGUAGCG